RNAcentral lists this long non-coding RNA (1750 nucleotides) under Sus scrofa (pig). RNAcentral describes it as "lncRNA (ENSSSCG00040074592.1)". The record is from RNAcentral. Lineage: Eukaryota; Metazoa; Chordata; Mammalia; Artiodactyla; Suidae.
UUCUGGGAAAUUUAAUUCAAUCCGGACCCAUAGGUGUGACAGAAGGUGACUUGGAGAUAACAGAAAACCAGCCAGAGCUUCAGUUAAAGCUUGGGUCUGGGGAGGGUAGAAGGGGAGGGAGUGCAACUAGCACCUCCACGUGGGAAACCCUGGGGACUUACAAAUAGAAUAUGUGGCUUAUUACUUUGGGGCGCUGCGGUGGGAGUCAGGGGAGGGUCUGGACAAAUGGUGAUUUCCCUGCUUUUUUGCAGAUGGGGAGUGUCUCCCAAGUGCCCUGCUUAUCCCAGUUAGGCAAUUCAUAGCUUUAAUUCUAGCUCUAACUAGCUGCAUGAUCUUUUUUGUUUUUAAAGUUUUUUUGAAGUAUGGUUGAUUUGCUAGGUUGUCAUGAUUUCUGCUGUAGCUGCAUGGCCUUGAAUGUUGUUUUCCUCAUCCAUGUGAUAUAGAAGCUCUGACCUUUUAGGACUGCUCUGGUCCUCUUGGCCGGAUAUUCUGCUUUCAAAAAUCUCUGAUCCUGAUUUUCCUUCUGGCACAGUGAGUUAAGGCUCCAGUGUUGUCAUUGCAGCGUGGGGAAAAAAAAAAAAAAUCUCUGAUUUCUUCCCACAUUGUGCCUCAGUCUUGGAAUGUCACCCACGAGGUGUUCCUAUAACAACGAUUUUUUUUUUUCAUUCUAGGAUUCUGGAGGUUGAAUAACUUAGGUUUUGAGAAAGAUCUCAACCCAGGGCCCUGGAGACAAGACUCUGUAGGGUGGAACUCAGGUUCUGCAGCUGAGGAUGGCAGUAGAUGGGGGCUGGCUGGCAGGUGUAGCCCACAGAAGUGUUACUGUGCAGCUUUAACAUCAACACCACGACAGCAGCGCCAGAGGUGGCAGACAGAUAACAAAGACAUUAAUUACAUCAGCCAUGCCAGGUGGGCUCCCUCUACAGAAACUCAGAAAGUGGAGAUAAGAGCCAUAAGCUCCUCCUGAGGUUCAGAGUGAGAGGAAAUCAACACCCCUACCACCCUCACAUGCCCUCAGACAAUCUGGCAAAACAGCAGGCUGUCCAUCAUCCAAGGAGGAAAACUGGUCCCGAUGUGCUCAGGGCCAUAAAAGAGUGGGGUUGAUGCCAGCUAUAAAAUGACAUGAGGCAGCUUAAGGGCCUACGCAGGUGAUCACAGCUAGAAAGUAUAGGUUUUCAUGAAACAUCCUGAAAAGUCCAAAUUCCUGAUUCUGGAAUCCACAGCGCUCUGAUGAAUUCCAGCCUCAUUUCUCAGCUGCCUCCUUCCCUAAACUCACUAGUCUCUUUUAGCUCCCAGGGUCCUCUGUCUGUAUGAUAGGCAUUAUCAGAUUGUAUCACAUUGCUUACCUGCUGAACUUACACACCUGCCUGGAAGAUCCUUAAAGGUAGAGACUAUAUCUUAUUUAUUUUUUAAAUUCGGCACAUGGUAGGACAAAUAGAGCUUCCCUAUUCUGGCCCAUGGAGUAAGUUCUCGAAACUUUUUUGUUGUUGAAGGAAGGAAAGAGGAAGGAAGGAAGGGAGGGAGGAAGAAGGGAGGGAAGCAAGGAAAGAAGAGAUUCCAGCCAUUCUUCGUAGGUAAUAGGCCACUCCAGCAAGAAGCAUGGCUGUUGGGGUGGACACCAUUCACCAGGAUCCUCAGUUGACAGACGUAAAGCAAAUCUUUGCUCAUACAGCCUUCAGCUGCACAAGGGACCAUUAACUGUCUCUCUUUCUGUUCCCUGUCAAUCACUCCCCUAGGUGCACCCAUGCCUUUC